GACGAACGCUGGCGGCGUGCUUAACACAUGCAAGUCGAACGGAAAGGCCCUGCUUUUGUGGGGUGCUAGAGUGGCGAACGGGUGAGUAACACGUGAGUAACCUGCCCUUGACUUUGGGAUAACUACAGGAAACUGGGGCUAAUACCGGAUAGGAGCUCCUGCUGCAUGGUGGGGGUUGGAAAGUUUCGGCGGUUGGGGAUGGACUCGCGGCUUAUCAGCUUGUUGGUGGGGUAGUGGCUUACCAAGGCUUUGACGGGUAGUCGGCCUGGGAGGGUGACCGGCCACAUUGGGACUGAGAUACGGCCCAGACUCCUACGGGAGGCAGCAGUGGGGAAUAUUGCACAAUGGGCGGAAGCCUGAUGCAGCAACGCCGCGUGCGGGAUGACGGCCUUCGGGUUGUAAACCGCUUUCGCCUGUGACGAAGCGUGAGUGACGGUAAUGGGUAAAGAAGCACCGGCUAACUACGUG
RNAcentral lists this ribosomal RNA (468 nucleotides) under uncultured bacterium. RNAcentral describes it as "partial 16S ribosomal RNA". It matches the Rfam family "Bacterial small subunit ribosomal RNA", at positions 28 to 507 of the family's 1533-position model. The record is from RNAcentral.